UACGGGGGGGGCAAGCGUUGUUCGGAAUUACUGGGCGUAAAGGACGCGUAGGCGGUUUGCUAAGUUGGAUGUGAAAACUCUGGGCUUAACCCAGAGCCUGCAUCCAAAACUGGCAAACUUGAGUACUGGAGGGGAAAGCGGAAUUCCUGGUGUAGCGGUGAAAUGCGUAGAUAUCAGGAGGAACACCGGUGGCGAAGGCGGCUUUCUGGACAGUAACUGACGCUGAGGCGCGAAAGCUAGGGGAGCAAACAGG
This 253-nucleotide ribosomal RNA is filed under the name uncultured bacterium. Its description in RNAcentral is "partial 16S ribosomal RNA". It matches the Rfam family "Bacterial small subunit ribosomal RNA", at positions 524 to 776 of the family's 1533-position model. The record is from RNAcentral.